Molecule: non-coding RNA, 858 nt
Organism: Maylandia zebra (zebra mbuna)
Lineage: Eukaryota; Metazoa; Chordata; Actinopteri; Cichliformes; Cichlidae
Source: RefSeq, a predicted model, not a curated record
AUCCAAGAAGCUGCGUGACUGCUCAGACCUAACACACUAUGUGACACUCACACCUUGUGAUUUGACUGUCCUGAAGCAACAUGUGGAAGAGCCCUCCUCUCCAAGUCUAACAGAUACAUUGUCUGUCUCAACCACCAGCAGUCAGAGCAGUGACACAAGUGAUGCCGGACUUCAAAUGGUUCAGCCUCUAUUGGACAGCAUACAUGAAAGAAAUGUAGAUACAGUACUUAAUUGACUUAUACUUGACUCUUUAGUUGCCAUUACUUGAAAAAGCUUAAACACGAAGAUAAAACAGAUUAGAGAAAAAUAAUUUAAUAUAGUAUUUCAUGUAGUUUGCUCUGCAACUGUAGUGUGUAAUAAGACUUGCUCUCUCUCUCUCGCUCUCUCUCUGUUUUUGUUAUGCAUGUUAACCAUGAAACGUGUUUCCAUGAUCAGUGUCCUGCUUUUCAGGUAAAUGAAACCAUUUUUAAGAAGAUACUGGUCCUAGAAAGGGAGAAAGUAAGACAUUUCAAAUGUUUUGAUGCCCAAAUGUCAUAUGGGUGUGAUUCACAAUUUUAUGUUCUGUGAGAGAGUUGCAUUACUUAAUUUGUUGGCUUGAUGGAGACUUUACAGAGUCUUCCUCACGUUAACACUGCAUUACAAGAAGUGCUUAUUCUGUAGUCAUUUUUUUCCUUUAAUUCUGUUUUUUUUUUUUCUUUUCGCCCAAUGUUAGGCCUUUCUGACCUCAACUGUUUAGCUGCCAAUAAUGGUGGAUAUUAUGCUAUUACAGUACUGUUACACAGAAUGUAUGUUAAUCCAUGCAGCAUUCAUAUUUGAAUAUGUUAUUUUUGAUAAAUAAAAUCCAUACAUUCAUAAUAA